This 626-nucleotide long non-coding RNA is filed under the name Olea europaea subsp. europaea. The record is from RNAcentral. Lineage: Eukaryota; Viridiplantae; Streptophyta; Magnoliopsida; Lamiales; Oleaceae.
CCCUCCCUUUAGAACCAUUCAUUUUCCCACUCUAUAAAUGCAAUAAUAAACUACUUUUUCAAUAAUUUCAUCAAGAAAUAGAGAGGAAAGGAGAAUACAGAAAUGGCAGCUGUAGUUGAUGUGUGCCUCGAAAAAAUUUCAGAGGUAAGAGCGAGAGUCGGAGCCCGAAAUUCAAUUAUUCGGGUUAUGGCUAAUGAAGUACACGAAAGAAAACAGUGGAAGCAAGAGUUGUCUUCGUCAUCAGCCACCCUCAAGUCACCAGCAAACGCCUUGAGGGAGGAGACUGUGUCAGAAAUGACGUUUUUGCUCAUGGAUCGGUUUGCACCAUGUUGAAAUUAAGUGUGGAAUCGAUUUUAUUUUAUUUAGGGUCUGUAUGAUUGUAAAGAUGAAAUUUGGGUGGAAAGAAAAUGAAUUUUAGAAAAUUGAAUUGCUUAAAAAUUGUUUUCCUGAUAAUUGUCAAUUUAUUGUGUUUGAUUGGUAUAAUUUUCUUACUUAAUAAUGUCAUUUAGCAUUUGAACACCAAUCUACGUGUCAUCAUGUCAUAGAUCCUAUUAAACGGGCAUAUAUAAAUAUGUAAUUUUAUGUCAUUAGUCAUGCUCUCUAUAUUAAUGUAAAAUAUUAGUGGU